GUCUGUGUGUAGUAGUGAUGGUCACAAUGUAUUUUCAAGUGUCACAGAAAAUACCACUGCAACCCACUGUUUACACCAAAGAGAAACAUAAAUUCAUAAAUUUUGGAAUCUGUGUACCUUCUUCUGGGAUUAUUGAAGGCAGAGACAUACAGAGGGAUAUAUUCUUUUUUUUUUCUGGAUCCUAGUAACCAACUGUGGUACUUCUGACUCUUCAUGACUAAUCCUUUCAUGUUUAACGUGACCGGCCUCAUCUAGAAAAGAAAACUCAAGUGAAUGGCACUUAACAAGGCAACAAGCGACGCAGCACACACAGUUUUCUACAGGUGGCAGAGAACAAUAUUUUCUCCUCCAUUUCAUGAUAUAACAACCAGGCUGACAGAUGCUGCCUGGAGAGUUUGACUUCACUGAGCAGGACAGGAAUGGAAGCUUCAGCAGUUCCAAGCUGAACUUCAAAAACUCAAUUUGUUUAAUGCUCAUAAUUAAUGGAUUGGUUCUAACAGUCCCCUUCCCUCCAGUGAAGAACUGUGACAGCUUGCAGCACUUCCCAAGAGCACUGCAGGUUAUUUCUCUUCUGCAUUGUGGGGGUGUCACGGCUGAGAGCAUAGAGUUUUCUCUUCUAAACUUAUUUUGACUGAAAAUGAGUCCCAUGUCAAAGACAGCAAAACCUGCGCCAUGGUCCUCAUUGAGCACUGAGGCCAGCCUACCCCAAGAGCCCAAAGUGGACAAGAAAGGGCCGCAGCCAUCAAGAUGCACAUCAACAAAAUUACAGAAGGAAAAGUUUGAGAAGUUCAGGCCAGUGCAGGAAGAAUUCUGAGAAGGCGGCAGGAUCAGCAUCUCAUUCUUAGGCCAGCCUGCCUACUGGCACACAAGAGGUCCAGCUCUAGGGAUUGUCAGCCUCCAAUGACCAGAGCUGGGCUCCUGCAGCGUCAGGGCGGGCAGCAGGUUGCUGGUGCCAGCAUCAUAAUGGACAGCAGCCAGCACUGGCCAAGUGAUCGCAGUGUCACAGUGGGGUGGUCUGUGACACGGCCACCCAGGAGCAGCAUAAAAGCAGCUGCAAUGUGGUGGGUGCUGCAUCCCGAAGGAGCAUCCUGCAGACGACCGGAAGCAUCUGGAAGGGAUUCGCUCCCACAUGGCUGGUGCCAACAAGGAGCGAUCUGCACGUGUGACGCGGACCAAGAUAAGCUUCUGGGAGGAUGGCCCCACAACAGAGCGUGCCUCCAGAAGUCCACAGGUCAUCGCCAAAGAGCGAGUUGCCGUCUGGGAUGCAGUGGCCGUCUGUGUGCAACAACACCUCCGGCUGCACAAGGUGGGUCAGAACCUGCCUCCCGCUUGUCUGCUUG
This 1340-nucleotide long non-coding RNA is filed under the name Numida meleagris (helmeted guineafowl). Its description in RNAcentral is "lncRNA (ENSNMEG00000000190.1)". Lineage: Eukaryota; Metazoa; Chordata; Aves; Galliformes; Numididae. The record is from RNAcentral.